AGAGUUUGAUCCUGGCUCAGAACGAACGCUGGCGGCAGGCCUCAAACAUGCAAGUCUAGGGGGUGUAGCAAUACAUCACCGGCGGACGGGUGCGUAACGCGUGGGAAUAUACCUAUUGGUUCGGAACAACUGAGGGAAACUUCAGCUAAUACCGGAUACGUCCUAACGGAGAAAGAUUUAUCGCCAAUAGAUUAGCCCGCGUUCGAUUAGCUAGUUGGUGGGGUAACGGCCCACCAAGGCGACGAUCGAUAGCUGUUCUGAGAGGAAGAUCAGCCACACUGGGACUGAGACACGGCCCAGACUCCUACGGGAGGCAGCAGUUGGGAAUCUUGGACAAUGGGGGAAACCCUGAUCCAGCCAUGCCGCGUGAGUGAUGAAGGCCUUCGGGUUGUAAAACUCUUUCGCGCACGACGAUAAUGACGGUAGUGCGAGAAGAAGCUCCGGCUAACUUCGUGCCAGCAGCCGCGGUAAUAC
RNAcentral lists this ribosomal RNA (474 nucleotides) under uncultured bacterium. RNAcentral describes it as "bacterial SSU rRNA". It matches the Rfam family "Bacterial small subunit ribosomal RNA", at positions 8 to 526 of the family's 1533-position model. The record is from RNAcentral.